RNAcentral lists this ribosomal RNA (393 nucleotides) under uncultured bacterium. RNAcentral's name for it is "bacterial SSU rRNA". It matches the Rfam family "Bacterial small subunit ribosomal RNA", at positions 30 to 424 of the family's 1533-position model. The record is from RNAcentral.
AUUGAACGCUGGCGGCAUGCCUUACACAUGCAAGUCGAACGGCAGCACGGGAGCAAUCCUGGUGGCGAGUGGCGAACGGGUGAGUAAUAUAUCGGAACGUGCCCAGUCGUGGGGAUAACGUAGCGAAAGCUACGCUAAUACCGCAUACGAUCUACGGAUGAAAGCGGGGGAUCGCAAGACCUCGCGCGAUUGGAGCGGCCGAUAUCAGAUUAGGUAGUUGGUGAGGUAAGGCUCACCAAGCCGACGAUCUGUAGCUGGUCUGAGAGGACGACCAGCCACACUGGGACUGAGACACGGCCCAGACUCCUACGGGAGGCAGCAGUGGGGAAUUUUUGGACAAUGGGCGCAAGCCUGAUCCAGCAAUGCCGCGUGCAGGAUGAAGGCCUUCGGGUU